GUGCCAGCAGCCGCGGUAAGACGAACCGUCCAAACGUUAUUCGGAAUCACUGGGCUUAAAGGGUGCGUAGGCGGCGCGGCAAGUUGGGUGUGAAAUACCUCGGCUCAACCGAGGAACUGCGCCCAAAACUGCCGUGCUCGAGGAAGAUAGAGGUGAGCGGAACUUAGGGUGGAGCGGUGAAAUGCGUUGAUAUCCUAAGGAACACCGGUGGCGAAAGCGGCUCACUGGAUCUUUUCUGACGCUGAGGCACGAAAGCUAGGGUAGCGAACGGGAUUAGAAACCCUGGUAGUCC
Molecule: ribosomal RNA, 292 nt
Filed under: uncultured bacterium
Lineage: Bacteria
Description: partial 16S ribosomal RNA
Rfam family: Bacterial small subunit ribosomal RNA
Source: RNAcentral